This 73-nucleotide transfer RNA is filed under the name Ursus americanus (American black bear). It matches the Rfam family "tRNA". From Rfam's summary of the family: Transfer RNA (tRNA) molecules are approximately 80 nucleotides in length. Their secondary structure includes four short double-helical elements and three loops (D, anti-codon, and T loops). Lineage: Eukaryota; Metazoa; Chordata; Mammalia; Carnivora; Ursidae. RNAcentral also lists the same sequence under 2 other names. The record is from Rfam by way of RNAcentral.
ACCUGACUGGCUCAGUCAGUGGAGCACAGGACUCUUGAUCUCUGGGUUGUGGGUUUGAGCCCCAAGUUGGGUG